Molecule: transfer RNA, 76 nt
Filed under: Eubacteriales Family XIII. Incertae Sedis bacterium
Lineage: Bacteria; Bacillati; Bacillota; Clostridia; Peptostreptococcales; Anaerovoracaceae
Description: tRNA-Pro
Rfam family: tRNA
About the family: Transfer RNA (tRNA) molecules are approximately 80 nucleotides in length. Their secondary structure includes four short double-helical elements and three loops (D, anti-codon, and T loops).
Source: RNAcentral
CGGAACGUAGGCUAGCGGCGAUGCCACCUGGUUUGGGUCUAGGAUUUCACCGUGGGUUCGAGUCCCACCGUUCCGA